AAUCACUAGUGAUUUUGAGCGGGGGACACAUUUGGAAACGAAUGCUAAUACCGCAUAACAACUUUAAACACAAGUUUUAAGUUGAAAGAUGCAAUUGCAUCACUCAAAGAUGAUCCCGCGUUGUAUUAGCUAGUUGGUGAGGUAAAGGCUCACCAAGGCGAUGAUACAUAGCCGACUGAGAGGGUGAUCGGCCACAUUGGGACUGAGACACGGCCCAAACUCCUACGGGAGGCAGCAGUAGGGAAUCUUCGGCAAUGGACGAAAGUCUGACCGAGCAACGCCGCGUGAGUGAAGAAGGUUUCGGAUCGUAAAACUCUGUUGGUAGAGAAGAACGUUGGUGAGAGUGGAAAGCUCAUCAAGUGACGGUAACUACCCAGAAAGGGACGGCUAACUACGUGCCAGCAGCCGCGGUAAUACGUAGGUCCCGAGCGUUGUCCGGAUUUAUUGGGCGUAAAGCGAGCGCAGGUGGUUUAUUAAGUCUGGUGUAAAAGGCAGUGGCUCAACCAUUGUAUGCAUUGGAAACUGGUAGACUUGAGUGCAGGAGAGGAGAGUGGAAUUCCAUGUGUAGCGGUGAAAUGCGUAGAUAUAUGGAGGAACACCGGUGGCGAAAGCGGCUCUCUGGCCUGUAACUGACACUGAGGCUCGAAAGCGUGGGGAGCAAACAGGAUUAGAUACCCUAGUAGUCCACGCCGUAAACGAUGAGUGCUAGAUGUAGGGAGCUAUAAGUUCUCUGUAUCGCAGCUAACGCAA
Molecule: ribosomal RNA, 750 nt
Filed under: Lactococcus lactis
Lineage: Bacteria; Bacillati; Bacillota; Bacilli; Lactobacillales; Streptococcaceae
Description: bacterial SSU rRNA
Rfam family: Bacterial small subunit ribosomal RNA
Source: RNAcentral